RNAcentral lists this RNase P RNA (363 nucleotides) under Pseudomonadota bacterium. RNAcentral's name for it is "Proteobacteria bacterium (cold seep metagenome) RNase P RNA component class A". It matches the Rfam family "Bacterial RNase P class A". From Rfam's summary of the family: Ribonuclease P (RNase P) is a ubiquitous endoribonuclease, found in archaea, bacteria and eukarya as well as chloroplasts and mitochondria. The record is from RNAcentral. Lineage: Bacteria; Pseudomonadati; Pseudomonadota.
UGAGAAGUUCAGGUGUCCGCCGGUCCCUCAAGGGACGGGAGGAAAGUCCGGGCUCCGCAGGACAGGAUGCUCUCUAACGGAGAGUGGGGGCGACCCUAAGGAAAGUGCCACAGAAAACAGACUACCUCGAAACACUGUUUCGAGGCAAAGGUGAAAAGGCGAGGUAAGAGCUCACCAGUUCCCCGGGCGACCGGGGAAGCUUGGAAAACCCCAUCCGGAGCAAGACCAAAUAGAGAGGCGUUUGAGGGUGGUCCGCCCGAAGCCUCUGGGUUGGCCGCUUGAGACGUCGGGCAACCGGCGUCCUAGAUGAAUGGGCACCACCCCGUAAGGGGAACAGAACCCGGCUUACGAACUUCUCACCCC